Molecule: non-coding RNA, 839 nt
Organism: Oryza sativa Japonica Group (Japanese rice)
Lineage: Eukaryota; Viridiplantae; Streptophyta; Magnoliopsida; Poales; Poaceae
Source: RefSeq, a predicted model, not a curated record
CGAGUUACUACACGGAAAAAUUGAUUUUUCCGUGCCGUCCUCUUUAAUGGACCGCACGCGAAAAUGAGCCGAUUUUCCCAGAAGCAACGAGAUACCGCCCGCACGGAAUCUAAAAGAUCGAACACUUGGUGGUGCGCUCGUCGGUGUUCCCGGUGUCUAGAGCUCCACCAUCGCCCCACUUUGUCAUUCCCGUCGACUCGAAUCAUCUCCGGCUGUACCAUUGCGCCACUGACGUCGCCUAGGUCCCAGGAGAACGACGCCCACAUAUGAUCAAGCCAAUACGCCGCCACGAAGGCCGUCGGUCGCCGUUGCUCUCCUGCUGCCUCUGCUUGUCUUGCCGCCGAGUCACCGACACGUGGGCCCGGCUGUUUAGCCACUUCAUUAGGUGCUAAGGACUUUAAUUAGUAGAAAUUGAAAUGUUGUAAGGUUCUUUUUGUAAAAUUGCUUUGUUUGCCAUGUGGGCUUAUGGACCUAAAUGCAAUUCACCUAAUGCCCAGGGACCUUGUUGUAUAGGGUUUAGGGCUUACCCUAAAACAUGAAAUUACUAUUUCAUGCAUUCACUACUUGAUAUAAUAGCUUGAUGAGUAUAUUGUUAUCACCCUUGCUUUAACCCCCUCUUUUAGAAUCAAUUUGGAGUUUUUGCCGAAGCCAGGAGUUUAAUCAUAUAAAUUAGUGUCAUUCUAACUUAGUUCCCAAGUAUAGAUUAGAUAGAUGGUUUAAUUCUAUAGCAAAACAUUAGAGUUGGCUCAUCCUGUAGCUUCUACAGUAAUAGUUAGCCACAAUCUUGUAAAUACCCUAUUAUUUUAUGUAAAGAAAUCUCCAUUGGAGCCUUAAUCAAA